GCCGUCGGUGCCGUGAGCCGUUCCUUCUGGAGAUGGCAACACAAGUACUGGCAGCCGAAGCGGAUGGGCAUUGCCCCGUUCUUCCAGGUCAUCGUCGGUGGCAUGGUCUUCUUCUACACCAUCAACUACGGCAAGCUGAAGCACCACAGGAACUACAA
This is a long non-coding RNA of Culex pipiens (northern house mosquito), 158 nucleotides long. It matches the Rfam family "Sphinx conserved region 2". NCBI's taxonomy places the organism in Eukaryota, Metazoa, Arthropoda, Insecta, Diptera, Culicidae. The record is from Rfam.